RNAcentral lists this ribosomal RNA (328 nucleotides) under uncultured eukaryote. RNAcentral describes it as "partial 18S ribosomal RNA". It matches the Rfam family "Eukaryotic small subunit ribosomal RNA", at positions 1470 to 1796 of the family's 1831-position model. The record is from RNAcentral.
CCCUUAGAUGUCCUGGGCCGCACGCGCGUUACACUGAUGCAUUCAACGAGCUUAUAACCUUGGCCGAGAGGCCUGGGCAAUCUUGUUAACGUGCAUCGUGAUAGGGAUAGAUUAUUGAAAUUAUUAAUCUUGAACGAGGAAUUCCUAGUAAACGCAGAUCAUCAAUCUGCAUUGAUUACGUCCCUGCCCUUUGUACACACCGCCCGUCGCACCUACCGAUUGGAUGGUCCGGUGAAGCCUCGGGAUUGUGGUUCUUGUCGCUUUAUUGUGGCGUGACCGCGAGAACUUGUCUAAACCUUAUCAUCUAGAGGUAGGUGAAGUCGUAACA